GGGGAUAUCGCUCAAUGGAUAGAGCCUCUGUUUACGAAGCAGAUGCAUGCAGGUUGCUUCGCAAUACGCACAGCGUGCUCCAAUUCCUGCUAUCCCCG
RNAcentral lists this transfer RNA (98 nucleotides) under Candidatus Sericytochromatia bacterium. RNAcentral's name for it is "tRNA-Arg". It matches the Rfam family "tRNA". Rfam says of the family: Transfer RNA (tRNA) molecules are approximately 80 nucleotides in length. Their secondary structure includes four short double-helical elements and three loops (D, anti-codon, and T loops). Further hydrogen bonds mediate the characteristic L-shaped molecular structure. tRNAs have two regions of fundamental functional importance: the anti-codon, which is responsible for specific mRNA codon recognition, and the 3' end, to which the tRNAs corresponding amino acid is attached (by aminoacyl-tRNA synthetases). tRNAs cope with the degeneracy of the genetic code in two manners: having more than one tRNA (with a specific anti-codon) for a particular amino acid; and 'wobble' base-pairing, i.e. permitting non-standard base-pairing at the 3rd anti-codon position. Lineage: Bacteria; Bacillati; Candidatus Sericytochromatia. The record is from RNAcentral.